AUUGAACGCUGGCGGCAGGCUUAACACAUGCAAGUCGAGCGGUAGAAAGUAGCUUGCUACUUUCGAGAGCGGCGGACGGGUGAGUAAUGCGUGGGAAUCUACCUGGUAGUGGGGGACAACAGUUGGAAACGACUGCUAAUACCGCAUACGCCCUACGGGGGAAAGCGGGGGAUCUUCGGACCUCGUGCUAUCAGAUGAGCCCGCGUGAGAUUAGCUUGUUGGUGGGGUAAAGGCCUACCAAGGCGACGAUCUCUAGCUGGUCUGAGAGGAUGAAUCAGCCACACUGGGACUGAGACACGGCCCAGACUCCUACGGGAGGCAGCAGUGGGGAAUAUUGGACAAUGGGCGCAAGCCUGAUCCAGCCAUGCCGCGUGUGUGAAGAAGGCC
RNAcentral lists this ribosomal RNA (387 nucleotides) under uncultured bacterium. RNAcentral describes it as "bacterial SSU rRNA". It matches the Rfam family "Bacterial small subunit ribosomal RNA", at positions 30 to 416 of the family's 1533-position model. The record is from RNAcentral.